Molecule: ribosomal RNA, 490 nt
Filed under: uncultured bacterium
Lineage: Bacteria
Description: partial 16S ribosomal RNA
Rfam family: Bacterial small subunit ribosomal RNA
Source: RNAcentral
AGUGAACGCUGGCGGUAGGCCUAACACAUGCAAGUCGAACGGCAGCACAGUAAGAGCUUGCUCUUACGGGUGGCGAGUGGCGGACGGGUGAGGAAUACAUCGGAAUCUACUUUUUCGUGGGGGAUAACGUAGGGAAACUUACGCUAAUACCGCAUACGACCUACGGGUGAAAGCAGGGGAUCUUCGGACCUUGCGCGAUUGAAUGAGCCGAUGUCGGAUUAGCUAGUUGGCGGGGUAAAGGCCCACCAAGGCGACGAUCCGUAGCUGGUCUGAGAGGAUGAUCAGCCACACUGGAACUGAGACACGGUCCAGACUCCUACGGGAGGCAGCAGUGGGGAAUAUUGGACAAUGGGCGCAAGCCUGAUCCAACCAUACCGCGUGGGUGAAGAAGGCCUUCGGGUUGUAAAGCCCUUUUGUUGGGAAAGAAAAGCAGCAGGUUAAUACCCCGCUGUUCUGACGGUACCCAAAGAAUAAGCACCGGCUAACUUCG